GCUCCCUCUCCGGAAUCGAACCCUAAUUCUCCGUCACCCGUCACCACCAUGGUAGGCCCCUAUCCUACCAUCGAAAGUUGAUAGGGCAGAAAUUUGAAUGAUGCGUCGCCGGCACGAGGGCCGUGCGAUCCGUCGAGUUAUCAUGAAUCAUCGGAUUAGCGAGCAAAGCCCGCGUCAACCUUUUAUCUAAUAAAUGCGCCCCUCCCAGAAGUCGUUGCACGUAUUAGCUCUAGAAUUACUACGGUUAUCCGAGUAGCACGUACCAUCAAACAAACUAUAACUGAUUUAAUGAGCCAUUCGCGGUUUCACGGUUCAAAUUAGUUCAUACUUGCACAUGCAUGGCUUAAUCUUUGAGACAAGCAUAUGACUAGUGGCAGGAUCAACCAGGUAGCACGUCCUAGUCGACAAGCCGUCACCGAGAGUCGCACGUGCCAGCCACUUGCAUGCCAUGGCAACGGCAAAAAACAGAGCGGCCGUCGUCCUUUGAGUGAGCUUCAGAAAGGGACGCGACGCCAAAGGGCCACGAGCCUCUACAAUGAGUGACAUCCAAGACCAAGAGCCUCUACAAUGAGCGACAUCCAAGACCCCGAAUCUGACAGAUAUGGCGCACUGUCGGCCAGCGCGGCUUUUCAACGUGGCCAUGGCCCAUGGCCACCUCCAUUCGCACCUGGACUCCCAGCAGCAGUUCCAAGCCACCGGCCACGAUGUCUGGUCCCACGCUCGCCGAUUUCGUCUCGCUCGAGAAGGACGGUGCCGCCCGCUCCGUCGCAGACGCGACCACCUCCAAAUCCCUCGUGGCGCUCGACGCUCGCGACCCGCCGUCCCCUUGCGCCUCGCCGAGCCCUCCGAAACGCUCUCCCCCACCAUCCCAGAGGCCGAAUCCGUCGCGAAUCAGGGAGCUCUUCGUCGGAUCAGAGAGCACCUUGUACGCGUGAUUGACGAGGCGGAGCGCCAAAUCAGUGCUGGGCUAGGCUCGCGCGGGUCAGAGCGGACACGGCGGCGGCGUGCGCGGGUCUCAGAGCGAAGGCGACGGCGGCACGGCAGGUCAGAACGGAGGCGGCGGCGGCGCGACGGGUCAGAGCGGAGGCGGGAGCGGCGCGCGUGGGUCAUAGCGGCGGCGGCGGCCCGUGCGGGCGACGGCAGAGCAGUGCAGGAGUUGGGAAGACGAGAGGCGCGAGGGAGCUCCGGUAUCCAAGGCGUCAAGGCGAUGGCGGCGUUCGGUCUGCGGCGAAGGGACGGAGCUCGUGCGGUCGGCGCGAGGAAAGGGAGGUCUCGGAAGAGGCUGUCGUCGGCAGCAAGCGCUUAGUGACGGACGACGUCGUGGCGGGGAAACUCCGAGGCGAUGCUGCUUCGGGUGAGGGCACCGACGGCGGCGCGAAGGCGGGGCGCUGCUCCUGGAGGCGACUCGGGGAGUGGGGAGGAAGUCUGAACCUCGAAGGUGAUGGGGAGGGAAGUGGGCAGCGAUUUCUCCACCACCACAAAGCGCAUCUCCUAAUUCCGUCGAACCAAAUCGGCAGCAUAGCUUCCCACCAUCCAAGUCCGGCCGCGGCAUAGGGAGGGUGAGAUCCGGGCAGGCCGUCCCGGCGUGCACGGCUUGAUGCUCUCAGUCGUGGCAUCGCCUGUUCCCCCUAACAGCACGGCAGGGCGGAGCAGUGCAGCAGCAGGAGGGGGCUGGAGCGGCGGGAGGCGAGGGCGGCCGUGCGCGCGGGCCUGCAGAGCGGGGGCCGCAUGAUUGGGCGUGCGGAGGCGAAGGCGGCUCGAGCGGAGGAGACGACUCGGUCCGAGUCAAAUAGCCCACCAGACAUGUGGUCCCGCCUCGUCAGAUUCGGGGUUAGACGUUAAGAGCGAGCAGCUAAUUAAAUCAGGUGAUUUUAGUAACAAAAGGUAUACUGGUAUACCUACGUGAAACUCUAGCCUUAAAUCAGGUGAUUUUAGUAGCAAUGUGAUGGUUUUUCGGUUUUCUAAAUUUAUUUACUCAAGAAAAGAAAACAAAGUUUUUUAAAUUUAUUUACUCAAGAAAAGAAAACAAAGUACUACAACGACUUCGUUGAUGCUAAAUUAAUUGUGAUUGUACUAUUCUUGUCUACAUCCACGAAGGAUAUGCCACACUAAGAUUGUUUCUUGGAGUAUUCUUUUCUUAAAGCCCUGUGGAAAAAUUGGAGCACGGCUCCUUUGCCUUUCACGCAGAAAGACGACAUUUGUUGAUAAGUUUGAGGUUUUUGACAUCUUCCGUCUAAAAACGACUUGUUUACAAAUAUUACUCUCUUCUAGGAGGUAAAGCUCCUAUCACUUGCUCGAAAGAAAACUAUAACAACGAAUAUCUGAUUUAAUUUUUUUUUCACCAAUCAACCCGUCUGCAAGAACAAAUUGACACACCGUGCCUUGUUCCAUAUUCAUGUGUCCGAUGAAGAGGGCGAUGCAUAGAGGUGUGUUCUUAAAGGGUUUCCUCCGUCGAAGUUUUAUCCUGCAACCGUCGUUUGCCAUCACCAAUUUUGCGUGAGGUUCAUGAGGAAAAGUGGGAGUGGAAGCGGAAACAAAGACCUUCGUACAAACAAGGGUCGCAGGAGAAAUGUCCCUUCAUGCAAAUACUUCCUCCAUGAACAAAAGGGAGAAAUUUUUAAAUGAGGUUUUUUCUUUUCGAGGAAGUUAAAAGAGGUACAUUGUGUAGGUUGUUCUUUAAAUUUAUAUGUUCGCACAUAUACUCAGUGGCCAAAUCGCAACCAGUGAGAUGCUGAAGUCUGCAACUUGAGCGAGUACCGGAAUUAGUGAAACCAAACCAAACAAGCACCUGCACCGGACCGCUCUUAUUGCAUCGCAUGAGACAGACAACAACCGCUGCUGCUGCUGCUGGCUGAUGCACCAACAUCAGCAGCAUAUCUGGCUCAAAAAAAUAUCUCCAAACUGCCAAAACCAGGCCAGAUGCCGCUGGCUGAUGCACCAACAUCAGCGGCAUAUCCAGCUCGAACAAAUCUCUCCAGAGUCCCCAAACCAGACCAGAUCAGACCAAACUCAAGCUGGACUGGGAAAUUUCGCCAGCAGAAAUAUACUACCGUUUGCACGGCAAAAAAAAAUGAUACGAUAACACGGCAGCAGCAGCAGGAAACAGCUUCAUGCAUGCCUGCUUGCCGCCAGAGUGAAGGAACAUCAUCCAUCAGACAACCAAGGUAUGCUCUAACAUGCCGGUCACAGACCCAACAAUGCAUAAUUGAAAACAAGGUAAACCAAACUAAGCAGGUGCAGCAACAGCACAUCAGCUAUGUAUAGUUUGUACCACCGCAUGUCAAGAGUAAGAGUCACAUGCAUGUACAGGUAAUGUAAACCAACAAGUCAAUACAAGCCAGAUUUUCAAGAUGCGCAAAAAAAAUAGAGGUUUAGGUAGGCAGUUGCUGCACACGGACCAAGUAGUAACAACGUGCAAAUCGGUUCUCGCUGCUGUUCACCGUUGUCGCUGUCGUCGGACAGGCACAUGACUGGUGGAUGGUCCCUGGCCUGUGCCUGCAGAACUGCUAGUCAUACCCAGCCUAGCUGGCAGAUGC
RNAcentral lists this long non-coding RNA (3536 nucleotides) under Brachypodium distachyon (stiff brome). Its description in RNAcentral is "long non-coding RNA (BDIS_LNC001861)". The record is from RNAcentral. Lineage: Eukaryota; Viridiplantae; Streptophyta; Magnoliopsida; Poales; Poaceae.